Molecule: RNA transcript, 1810 nt
Organism: Pyrus x bretschneideri (Chinese white pear)
Lineage: Eukaryota; Viridiplantae; Streptophyta; Magnoliopsida; Rosales; Rosaceae
Exons: 5
Source: RefSeq, a predicted model, not a curated record
UACACUUCUUUGACUGGUAGUUCUGAAAGUUAAACCCUAUCAGUCACGCACUUCAUGACGAUCUAUAGCCAUCGUCUGCUCUAUGGACCAUGGAAAACCCUACAGAAGCACUCCCAGAAACCCAGGUGAACGGCCCAGAUCCGCGGAACAACCCAGAAACCUCCGAAUCCGGUGAUGGUCUUCUCGCCGAGCUCGAGUCCCUCCGCCAGUCGCACCAGGCCCUGCUGUCGAAGUCGGCGGCAAUGGAGGAAGACUCUGAUCUCAUCCGGCAGCAGAGAGACGAUGCCCUGGCUCACAACGUCGAGCUAACCAAAGUCGUCGGAGAAAUUUCCGGCGAGAGAGAGUCGCUUCGCGACGAAAUUCAGAAGCUCGAAGGUUGUCUGAGAGAAAAGGAAGAUGGGUUUGACUCGAAAUUGGAGGAGGAGCUGAAAUUGAAGGAGGUGAUUGAAAACGAGGUGCGAGUUUGUCGGGAGACGAUUGGAAGAUUGGAGCUUGAGAGAAAGGAGAGAGAUGGGUUUUUGCUGAAGUGCUUGGAUUCGCUCCGAUCGAUCAAGGAGGGCAUAAUCGGAAUAAUCGACUGCGUCGGCGACGAAAAAGUAGGGAAUGGAACUGAAGAAGCUGAGGGGACCGGUGCGGAAUCGGAAUCCGACCCAGAAUGGAGGGCGGUUUAUGAGGAGAUUACGGCGGUUGCCCGGCUGACGGCUUCGGCGGAAGCGCAGGUGAGUGAGUAUAAAGAGCUGAGGAAGAAGGAGAAGAAGGAGUUGGAGAAUAGCGUGGUGAGUCUGACGGAGGAGAACAGAGAUAUCAGCAGCCUGCUUAGGGUUGCUCUAGCGGAGAAGGAGGCGGUGGUGAAGAGGUUGAAAGGAAGCGAGCAGAAGCGGGUGCCUAUUUUGCAGAGAGUUGGGUUUGGGUUUAUAAUGGGAAGUGGGGGCAAUGAGCAGUCGCCGGAGAAUUCGGGGAUAAGCUGGACGGUGCAGGGUCUACUGCAGGAAGUAAAUCGGAUGGCAGUGACUGUGAAGAGGGGGUUAUCAGUCUGGCCUCGACUGUAGAGAAGAUCAUGAAGAACCUGCGGCUUGAGAUCACUCAGUUGAGAAGAUCUCUGGAUGAAUCUAGGUCAGACACUGAGCGCUUGCAGAGUCUCGCGGAAAAACAAGCUCAACAAAUUUCGGAAAACACGCAGUACAUCAAGGAGUUAGAAAAUAGAGAGAGGGUGUUAACUCAAAAUGUUGAAGAACUCAUGAUCGAAAUAAAGGAAAGUGAAGCAGAGGUUGCUAGAUGGAGAGAAGCUUGCGAGCUAGAAGUUGAAGCUGGGAAAACUGAGAUAGGAGAACGUGAGAAAGUGAUCGCCAUUCUGAAGCAAGAAUUAGAGAAGACAAAAGCGGCUCUGGACAUAUCAAAUGGCAAACUGAAGAUGAAGGAAGAACUUGCAGUGACCGCGAUGGCUGCGCAGGCAGCAGCAGAGAGGUCCCUGCAGCUGGCCGAUAGCAGGGCAUCAGGACUACGGGCACGUAUAGAAGAACUAACGAAACAAGUAGAAGAAGCAGAGAGCAGAGAGCGCAACAACCGAAGGGUGAGACACAUGUGUUGGCCAUGGCGACUCCUGAAAGCUUCUAACAAUGCACAAAACAGUAUUAAGCCUGUAAAACGAUUACUACCAGAAAUGCAAGCCUUGCUUCACUAUAGCGGGUGAUAAAUCAGUUACUUUUCGGAUCAAUUCAGUUGUAUUUGUUUGAAUUUGUUUCUUCGUUUAUUUUUUAGAUGUAAAGAAACAAUUGCUUGAGUACGAUUGCAAUGUGCAGUGUUUCCUCCU